Long non-coding RNA from Mangifera indica (mango), 609 nucleotides. RefSeq lists it as uncharacterized. The record is from RefSeq and is a predicted model, not a curated record. Lineage: Eukaryota; Viridiplantae; Streptophyta; Magnoliopsida; Sapindales; Anacardiaceae. The transcript is spliced from 2 exons.
AUUAUUAUAUAAUUGAUUAAGAAAUUCUUAGUACUCCCUGUCCUUUUUUUGUUUUUGUAAUUUUCAAAAAUUUUAUUAAAAAAAGAUUUAUUAUUAUUUUUUUAUAUAUUCCAACAAUCUAAUUUUUACAUGCCAAAUUAAAGUUAAUGGCAUCCGAUUUUAUCAGACGCACUCCAAUCUAAUACAAAAUUAAGCAUGCCAAACACACCAUAAAUAGCUUAUUUUGAUUUUUGCUCAUAAUUUUGAAAUUGUAGAUAAGAAAUGGAUAGCACACCUCCUGAGAAGCCAAGUAGUCUGCUUCAACUUAGGUCAGAGUGCCUAAUGCUGCAAUGCAGUUUGUGGAUUCAGCAAUCAGGACGGAGUUUCAUCUGCAGCCAACAAUAGAUACAAGGGUCUUUGUUACUUUGGCAGAACUGUCUCAAAGAUCGUCGCUCAACAGGAAGAUGAAACCACAUGAGAAAUUUGCCGCUGAAAUGGAACUUCUGCAGAAAACAAAUAAACACUAAUCAUGGUGCUGCAUAAUAAAUCAAAAUCUACUCAUGCAGACAACUUCAUUCUAGAUUUGUACAUGUGAUUUUUACUCUAAAUAACAUUUCGGGUUUUAUUUCA